This 407-nucleotide ribosomal RNA is filed under the name uncultured bacterium. Its description in RNAcentral is "partial 16S ribosomal RNA". It matches the Rfam family "Bacterial small subunit ribosomal RNA", at positions 30 to 526 of the family's 1533-position model. The record is from RNAcentral.
AUUGAACGCUGGCGGCAGGCCUAACACAUGCAAGUAGAGCGGAGCGGCGGACGGGUGAGUAAUGCAUAGGAAUCUGCCUGGUAGUGGGGGAUAACGUCCGGCAACGGGCGCUAAUACCGAAUACUAUCAGAUGAGACUAGGUCGGAUUAGCUAGUUGGUGGGGUAAAGGCUUACCAAGGCGACGAUCCGUUACUGGUCUGAGAGGCUGAUCAGUCGCACUGGAACUGAGACACGGGCCAGACUCCUACGGGAGGCAGCAGGGGGGAAUAUUGGACAAUGGGCGAAAGACUGAUCCAGCCAUGGCGCGUGUGUGAAGAAGGGCGUCGGAUUGUAAAGCACUGUAAGUUGGGAGGCGGUACCAACAGAAUAAGCACCGGCUAACUUCGUGCCAGCAGCCGCGGUAAUUC